AGCGAACGCUGGCGGCAGGCCUAACACAUGCAAGUCGAACGAACCUUUCGGGGUUAGUGGCGGACGGGUGAGUAACACGUGGGAACGUGCCUUUAGGUUCGGAAUAACUCAGGGAAACUUGUGCUAAUACCGAAUGUGCCCUUCGGGGGAAAGAUUAAUCGCCUUUAGAGCGGCCCGCGUCUGAUUAGCUAGUUGGUUGAGGUAAUGGCUCACCAAGGCGACGAUCAGUAGCUGGUCUGAGAGGAGGAUCAGCCACAUUGGGACUGAGACACGGCCCAAACUCCUACGGGAGGCAGCAGUGGGGAAUCUUGCGCAAUGGGCGAAAGCCUGACGCAGCCAUGCCGCGUGAAUGAUGAAGGUCUUAGGAUUGUAAAAUUCUUUCACCGGGGACGAUAAUGACGGUACCCGGAGAAGAAGCCCCGGCUAACUUCGUG
RNAcentral lists this ribosomal RNA (434 nucleotides) under uncultured bacterium. Its description in RNAcentral is "partial 16S ribosomal RNA". It matches the Rfam family "Bacterial small subunit ribosomal RNA", at positions 29 to 507 of the family's 1533-position model. The record is from RNAcentral.